This 27-nucleotide non-coding RNA is filed under the name Mus musculus (house mouse). The record is from RNAcentral. Lineage: Eukaryota; Metazoa; Chordata; Mammalia; Rodentia; Muridae.
UGUCUUUGGUGUAUGGUAAUGGUUUGG